RNAcentral lists this ribosomal RNA (378 nucleotides) under uncultured eukaryote. Its description in RNAcentral is "bacterial SSU rRNA". It matches the Rfam family "Eukaryotic small subunit ribosomal RNA", at positions 592 to 974 of the family's 1831-position model. The record is from RNAcentral.
CAAUAGCGUAUAUUAAAGUUGUUGCGGUUAAAAAAGCUCGUAGUUGGAUUUCUGUUGAGAGCGGCCGGUCCACCUUUUGGGUGAGUAUCUGGAUUGGUCUCGGCAUCCUCACAACGAAUGUUUCUGCGCUUGAUUGCGUGGUAUAGGCGUUGUGACUUUUACUUUGAGGAAAUUAGAGUGUUCACGGCAGGCAUACGCCUUGAAUAUAUUAGCAUGGAAUAAUAAUAUAGGAUCGCGAUUCUAUUUUGUUGGUUUCUAGAAUCACGAUAAUGAUUAAUAGGGAUAAUUGGGGCGAUUUGUAUUAACGCGUCAGAGGUGGAAUUCUUGGAUGCGUUACGACAAACUACUGCGAAAGCAUUUGCCAAGGAUGUUUUCAUU